Long non-coding RNA from Carassius carassius (crucian carp), 842 nucleotides. RefSeq lists it as uncharacterized. The record is from RefSeq and is a predicted model, not a curated record. Lineage: Eukaryota; Metazoa; Chordata; Actinopteri; Cypriniformes; Cyprinidae. The transcript is spliced from 3 exons.
UUCAUAUUUUAAUGAAAAAUUAUUAAUGGUCAAUGGCGCAUAUUCGCAUAGUUUUAUUUUGAAAUGGUUACGAACUAAAGAAAAAGUAUUUAGCGCAGAGUGCAACUUUUCUAUGGAGUUUGCAUACCUGACUUCAUAUUGAGAAUUUGUUAUUCACAAGCUAUUAUGACUAUUAAGAUAAUUUAAUCAAUUUUUUAAGGCGUUGGAUUGCCAAUGCAGAACGUGCUUGCUUAAAUAUUAUUUUGGAAUAAUAUUUGUGCACGGUUUCUAAUUUAUGCACUGCUCGUAGCUGUGGUCACUGUGUCCAGUUAGGAGUUUUUUCAGAGUCAAACUGCUCUGUUGAUCUUAUUAAUGCUGGACACGCCAAAGACGUGCAGCUCUGUCGAAACUCAUCUCAACAUGAAACAAAACGACACUCAGACUCAGGAUACACAGGAGAGUCAUGCAAACAGAUGUCCUUUAGUGGAGGACAGAGCAGAAGCAACAUUCAGACUGUAGUAAUUGUUUAUGCUGAUGACAGGUUAUUCUGAAGAUCAGGAAGGUGUGUUGCAAACGUCAACCGAGCAAACUGAAAGGCCACCAGAAGACGAGUCUUUGAAUGUGAGCUGUGUGGAAAGGCCUUUCCAAAGAUGUUUUCUCUAGUUCACCACAAACGUGUGCAUUCAGUCAUAAAGCUGCACUGCUGUGAAAAAUGUGGGAAGAAGUUCUCACAAGUAAGAGCGCUAGAGACACAUCUCUGCAAACAUAUGCAGAAGUUUGAGAAGUUAUUUCCCUGCACCACUUAUGGAAAGAGCUUCAGAGACCUCGCAGCACAUGAACGGGUCCACGCGGAAGUCAAACCA